RNAcentral lists this transfer RNA (86 nucleotides) under Planctomycetia bacterium. Its description in RNAcentral is "tRNA-Leu". It matches the Rfam family "tRNA". From Rfam's summary of the family: Transfer RNA (tRNA) molecules are approximately 80 nucleotides in length. Their secondary structure includes four short double-helical elements and three loops (D, anti-codon, and T loops). The record is from RNAcentral. Lineage: Bacteria; Pseudomonadati; Planctomycetota; Planctomycetia. RNAcentral also lists the same sequence under 1 other name.
GGCGCUGUGGUGGAAUCGGCAGACACAAGGGAUUUAAAAUCCCUUGGACCGUAAGGUCCGUGUGGGUUCAAGUCCCACCAGCGCCA